AUGCAGUCAUUGAAUGUGACCUGUGUAAGUCGUCCUAAAGUGAUCGUCCUGCCGCCGUCCAGUGAAGAGAUUUCCAGCAAGAAGACAGCAACAGUGAUGUGUGUGGCCAGCAAUGGUUUCCCUUCAGACUGGAGUCUGAGCUGGAAAGUGAAUGGGAAGAUGUCAGGAUCUCAGGAGAACAGAGCUGGAGUCCUACAGAAAGACGGCGGUCUGUACAGCUGGAGCAGCAGUCUGACUCUCACUGAACAAGAAUGGAUCAACAGAGACUCAGUGAUCUGUGAGAUCAGUCGGGAAGGUCAGACAGUCACUGGAGAAGUGAAGAAAGAUCUGUGUUCUGAGUAG
This is a non-coding RNA of Misgurnus anguillicaudatus (oriental weatherfish), 342 nucleotides long. Lineage: Eukaryota; Metazoa; Chordata; Actinopteri; Cypriniformes; Cobitidae. The record is from the annotation of a RefSeq genome assembly.